UACAGAGGUCUCAAGCGUUGUUCGGAUUCAUUGGGCGUAAAGGGUGCGUAGGUGGCGCCGUAAGUCAGGUGUGAAAUCUCGGAGCUCAACUCCGAAACUGCACUUGAUACUGCGGUGCUCGAGUACUGGAGAGGAGAUUGGAAUUUACGGUGUAGCAGUGAAAUGCGUAGAUAUCGUAAGGAAGACCAGUGGCGAAGGCGAAUCUCUGGACAGUUACUGACACUGAGGCACGAAGGCCAGGGGAGCAAAAAGG
RNAcentral lists this ribosomal RNA (253 nucleotides) under uncultured bacterium. RNAcentral describes it as "partial 16S ribosomal RNA". It matches the Rfam family "Bacterial small subunit ribosomal RNA", at positions 524 to 776 of the family's 1533-position model. The record is from RNAcentral.